AGUUUAAUAUUUGUCGAAUUGAGUCCUUUGUAGAGUUUACUUUCACAUCGCGCUAUAGUGACUAAUAAAUGUGAGCAUGCGCAGGUGGUACAAUAAUCGCAAAAUCCAUUAGUUUAACGAAGUAACGUUUGUUUGUACGAGCGGACAAAGACGAAGGUGCUUACUACUCAAAGCAAAAACAUCGAACGUGACCCACGUGCGCACGUGACCCGAUCAACGGACUGCUCUGCAGAUGCAAGAACUCUGAGGAACAAAGAUGUCUCGCUGGAGUUGAAGGAUUGACAACAGGCAUACAUGUGUGGGUUGCUGUAGAUCUCCUGUCUUGGACCGAGAGCUGCGUCCAUUUCCCACAUGGUUUGUUGAUUUACGCUGAAAGCACCGGCCUGCAGCCCUCCUCAUGCCUGACUUCAUCCAAUUCUAGAGGACACUGGACCAUCAGGUCCAGCCUGUGCCACACUGAUCUCUCUUUCCAUUUUGCCUGGCCACCCUCGCUGUUUCUCUGCUCGGCUGAGCGGCAGACACACACACAGAGGACUGCGGCAGCCUCCCCCACCACCAGCAACUGGAUUGAAGCUGCUGUAAUUGUGGGGGCAGUUUUGUGGGCUUUAAUGGCCACGCUGGAAGUUUUUGAUGCAGCCCUGCAUGUGGGGUCGUGUCAGGUCUUCAUCCACAAGGUACCACUAUGGAGCACUGCCAUAAUCACAAGAGCUCUGCAAACACCCCUGCUGAAAGCUUUGACCACAGAAGAAGCUGCAGUCUCUCUUCACCCUCUUCUUGCAGCAAUCAACAGAACUCCUUUCAUAUUGAAUGGCAAGCUCCAUUCCGAUGUAUGAAAGUUGGUGUCAUAACAUCCCAGCCGGACAUAAACUACAAUCUUUAAUUCCUCCUCUAUGAUCGACUUUCUAAUCAUUGGCACUUCUGUGAAUUAAAAAGAACUCUACUAAUACUUCACUACCAAAUCCAGGUCCCUGAUCGGUCAAAGUUCAACUGGUUUAACUUUAAGCAAGCAUUCAAUGACUGCACGUUUUUAGAGCGCAAAAAUGAAUUAAAAAACUUGUUUAGCAAUGCAUGAACGGAGAGUUUUGAACAUGGAAGCCCAAAACGCGCGUUUACGUUUACGUUUCAUUGGAAGUGAUCGCUUGAACGUGCGUUGCUGAGGCCGGUGUGAAUGUAGCAUCGGCCCCUCCAAAAGUCUCCUUCACUUGUCAAUCUUUCUUUGAUUGGUAAAAUGAGCUUUAGACACAUAAAGUAAUUCAUUUAAGCUCAUUGCCAACACAAGCACUAGAACCUUUGUCUGACUGGGAACCAUGAUGUCCACAUUUGAGCCUCUAAUCUUCAUCCUGCCUGUAUUGUUCUCUGUUUCUAAACUCCCCACUGCUGCUGGUGGUUCCCGCUCAUUGAAGCAAACAGGACCUCACUGUGCAAAAAUCCCAAACCAAAUCUUUUGUUGACUAAACUUAAGACUCGCUGCCUCCUGGCUGCACCUAAAAAUUCAGUUCAUAAAAGCAAUGAACAGAAACUGGGAUGAAGGCCAGCCCAGGUGGAGCCCACAAAGGAUCAAAAUGGGGAUCAAACCCUGAUUUUACUGGCUUGAAGACCAAAAGGCCUCCAACAUUUGUUCUGAUUUUCUUAACACACCCAAAGAAUUACAGUUCAAAAUCUUAAGAGCAACCUUUAAGUAAACAUUAAAAUCACACUGAUCUAAAAAAAAAAAAAACAAUAAUAACAAAAUAAAAGAAGAUCUUGAUUUAAACUCUGUAAAAUUGUAAUUUUUUUCCACAUCUGCCAAGGCAGAUACACUUUAAAUUCUUAAAACUGUAGCUAUUUUCUCAUCAAUACAGCUUGUGUGUAAAACAUUUAUUGCAGUUUACUGGGCUACUUAGGUUUUUUAUGUUGUUAUGUAGUUGUUUGUUGAUAUAUCUUUCUGCAAAGCUUUUAUUUUAAGGCACUUUCUCCAAAUCAAGGUGGAAAAGCUCUUGGAACCUUACUGCAGACUAAAGACAAUGCAAGGUUUUAUAGCUGUAACACAAGCCCAAAUUCUCAUACCACUACCUCGAUGCUUGAUGGUUGCUGUAAAUUUGACCAGACAAUUCCACUUCAGUCUUUUUUUUUAAUUCCUUUUAGCCGUGGUUUGUUCAAAUACAUUUUUAAAAAAUCAGUCACAUUAAUUUUGUCUUUAAACACUAUUUACUGUUAAUCUGCUUUUUUGGGCAUUGUUUUUAUUUUGCA
Oryzias sinensis (Chinese medaka) is the source of this 2229-nucleotide long non-coding RNA. Lineage: Eukaryota; Metazoa; Chordata; Actinopteri; Beloniformes; Adrianichthyidae. The record is from Ensembl.